This 404-nucleotide ribosomal RNA is filed under the name uncultured marine bacterium. Its description in RNAcentral is "bacterial SSU rRNA". It matches the Rfam family "Bacterial small subunit ribosomal RNA", at positions 9 to 416 of the family's 1533-position model. The record is from RNAcentral.
GAGUUUGAUCAUGGCUCAGAUUGAACGCUGGCGGCAUGCUUUACACAUGCAAGUCGAACGGCAGCACGGGGUUUACCCUGGUGGCGAGUGGCGAACGGGUGAGGAAUACAUCGGAACGUGUCUAUAAGUGGGGGAUAACGCAUCGAAAGAUGUGCUAAUACCGCAUAAUCUCUCAGGAGAAAAGCAGGGGAUCGCAAGACCUUGCGCUUUAGGAGCGGCCGAUGCCUGAUUAGCUUGUUGGUAGGUAAAAGCUUACCAAGGCUUCGAUCAGUAGCUGGUCUGAGAGGACGACCAGCCACACUGGGACUGAGACACGGCCCAGACUCCUACGGGAGGCAGCAGUGGGGAAUUUUGGACAAUGGGGGAAACCCUGAUCCAGCCAUGCCGCGUGAGUGAAGAAGGCC